Corvus hawaiiensis (hawaiian crow) is the source of this 7104-nucleotide long non-coding RNA. RefSeq lists it as uncharacterized. The transcript has 6 exons. The record is from RefSeq and is a predicted model, not a curated record. Lineage: Eukaryota; Metazoa; Chordata; Aves; Passeriformes; Corvidae.
GUAAAUACAUUCCUACUCACCUGUCUGCUGAUGUUGGAAAGGCACCUUUCUUUCCCAUCUCUUUCAAGCCACGCAAUGAAACUCCCUGAGCUCCCUGUGUUCCCUGGGAGAGGCUCCGUGCCUGGACACGCUGAGCAGGGCUGAGUUAGUCCAGCUGGAGAUCUGUCCCCAAGCUGGAAUGUCCACUGAAGUAUUGCAGAAUGGGAAUGAAGUCGUUUACCAGCAGAAAAUAAUACACAAUGGCUCCUUAUAAUCCGCCUGUUCGUUGGGAAAGCAGGGAUCUCCAGGGAGGGAAGGACUCCUUGCUACUUUUUGCACACCCUAUUUUAAAUUGAAGUCUUUAAUUCAGCUUUUCUGUAGCCUGACAACUGUUCCUCACAGGAGGAAGGACCUUGGAUAAAGGGAAUUUGCUCUGCCUUGCUCAGUGAGGCCACCUCGGAGCACUGGUGCUCGAUUUCAAAUCUGUGCCUCCGCCGGUUUUGACACUGUGCAAUGAAGCAUCCGAGCUCUCAGAUGUCUGGCUCUUCCGAGUUGUGAAAUGAGAAAACAAACAAACCCAGCCAUUCCAGCCCUGUCAAUCUACUUCUCAGUGGACAGAUGCCCUGGUGCCAGAAAAGCUUCAGCCUAUGAUCCCACACCUCUUGGCAGUGCCAAAAAAAAGCCGGAGAUCUACUGGACGCAAAAGUGCGGCGGUUCCUCACCUCGAAGAAAUGGUGUUUGUGGCCACGCUGGAGCUCCUGGGCUAAGAAUUUGCCAAGGGCAUCAACAGCAGUUUUCCCAGGCUCCAGCACAAGGAUUUAGUCAAUCCACUGAUGACUCAAAUCUUUGAAGAAAAGGACAUGGUUAUCAGAGAAGCUUUGACGACAGAAAGGACGGGAGUGCUAUCUGCCUUUUUCCAUCAGAGAUUCCCAUUCCCUCUCAUUAACAUACUCAGGACAUCAGCACAGCCAUCGGGCCCGAGGGAAUCGCUUCCAACUUUUAAGGGAAUAUGCGCAAGACCUCAGCCCUGCGUUGUUUCAAACAGAUCAAACCAGAUUUGCCACGUGUAAGGGUUCUUCAGUCCCACGGAAGAUGUGAUGUCUGUGAAAGCUGCUGCUGCAGUAAGUGGAAAAGGGAGAUGCCUCUACCUGCUCUCUCCCAGUGCCCUGUAAUGAAAAAUGCUUUUGGAGCAACACUGGAAAUAAGCCAUCAAAAUAUCUGAUUAAACCUCUUAGGAAACUCUCACUAAUCACCUUCUCUGCUCUUGAUGGAAUGUAUUUAUGCAUUAUAAAUAUACUUACUAGGUGUGUGUGCUCCAUAAAUCACACCCAGCACUUGUAUAUGAUGUAUAAGCACAUUCUAUAGAACACACACAAAUACAGAUGCCAAACUCCCACAGAGUUCAUCACUGGAAAAUGUUUGAAGGAUCUGAUCCUUAAUAUUUAAUGAGCAAGAUGCUAUUUCCUUCCUCAGCUUUUAUCUCUGGUUUGGCAUAGUCAUUAAAUUUGUUGUUUCCUUGCAAGAUUAUAUAAUUUAUGACCUAAUUUUAGACUUUUGUGUAACCGCGUUGAAACACUCGUGGCGUAUCCCGAUUUCCUCACACGGAGUGCUCCAGCAUUUGACACCAGCUCCAACACGGCUUCUGUGAGCUGCCCGUCAGCAAGGAGUCACAGGCAUGAAAGGAAAAGAGCCCACCAACAUUCAGGCAGCAUUAUAGGAUUAGUUUGGGGCAUUUUUUGCCCUGUAAAAAAUAUGAUUUAGCAGCAUUUCCAAAGCCGUCUGCGGUGCUGGCAGGAAUCCCCAGGUAAGACAGGCAGCACCCAGCAACUCCUGUUCCUGAAAACAUUUCAUGCAGCUGUUCUGGAUUUCAGACUGCUCUGGGACAGCUACCUUCGGUGCAGGGAGGGGUGUUUGGAGGUGGGGAAGCAGGGGAAGGAGUCACUCCGUGCUUUAAAGCCACUGCCAGCCCUUCACCCUCUGGAAUUUCCUCCCAGCACCAGCCUGGCUGCUGGGCUGACUUUUUGCUGCACAAGGUGCUGCCAGAUAACUCCAAAAUUAAUCAUUCUAAAGCUGCAGCCACAGUUUUUUGGUGUUUUCUGUGUGUCCAGAGUAAUUCAGAGAUGCUGUAAAGAGUGCCAUGAGCUUCAGCUAUUUUGUCAAUUUAAACUGUGUAGUUGGGACCAGUCUUUCAUCAAAUUUAGUGUAUUGGCUCUUGCAUUAAUGCACUCAGAGCAUUUUAUCCUGGUGUUCCAUAGGGAACUAGCUUGUGGUUUUGGAAAGACUCUAGGUUUCCUUUGUGCUUGCAGUGCUGUUUGGAGGAGUUUUCCUCUUUUUCCACCUUAUCCUGAAUAUCCAGCAGGGAUGGCAGAGUUGGGGUGCUGCAUCCUCAGAUCAGCAGCAGGAGCACAGGGACCAUGUCCACGCAGCCCAGCACACCCCUCUAACACAACAACUUCACGUACAGGGCGAGGGGGGUGCCUACAUGAAAAAAAAGCAUCCUUAUAAAAAGGGGACAUUAAUUCUUGGAUUAAGAAAAAUUGGAGAGUUUGUCUCCUUGGCUUUAAUGGAGCUGUUCCAGGAAAGCAGCAGAGAACAAAGUGUUUUCAGUAUCACAUAAUUCAAGAGUAAAAUCAUAAUUCCAAUUACCAUUGCAGCCACUUCUGGCCUUGGGAAACCUAUGCUAAUAUUUAUUAUUAUAUGAUUGACCUCUGAUUUCUUCAUCAUUUAUAUUAGCAACCCUGAUAUUCUUAGUAACAUCCUUUAAAUCAUAGAAGCAGGUGUCAACAGUGCACGAUGAAGUCACAUGCUGCAGAUUUUUUAUUUACUUAGCCCAUUUUUUUUUUUUUUUCUGCUUAAAUAACAUUGUGAGAUGCAGAAUCUCACCUCCACAGGGCCUUGAGGGGUGUAUGUAAUCAUGGAAUGCAUUUCCUAUAAUCUCACAAAAUGACUCAAUCCUAUCAGAGGUACAAAUAGUUUUACAAAGUCAGUAUUUCACUCCCAUCACCACCUGACAUCAUCUUCCACACUGCACAAGAAAAUAUUUACUUGGCUCUUUGACAUGAAUUGCCACAAAGCCUUUGGAACAAAAACCAAGAAGUGAGAAUUAAAAUGGAAUAAUUUGACUUAAUGAAUUUAGCCUCUUUUAUAUGUGCUGGAUUUAGAUGUCAGAUGAUUUCUUAUAACAUUUGGGAUGGACAUGGACACCUCCAAUCCCUGUUCUCCAGAGAGAUGCCUACGCAAGGAUCACAGAGUUUCCCAGAAUAUCCAAAGCUGGAAGCUGAUCCUCUUCUCCAUCAUCUCAAUAUUUUCUUUGCAUAAGUGAGCAUUUCUCUGGAUGAAUUAAGACACUGCAUUUGUUUUCCAGGUACAGGUGAGGUGCCAAGGGCAGCCUGGGGCUUCUCACUGCCUUCAGCAGAGUUGGUAAAAUUGUAUUUAUCCACAACGAGACUGAUUUUUUUUUCAGAUUGUUCUGAAGAUGUGUCAAAAAGUUUAAAUUCUCUGUCUCCCAUAUCCCCUGCUCAUCUUCCUGCCUUGGUGCCGCUCCUGCUGUUGUUCACUUCCAGAGAGCACAGCCAGGGGCUUUUCAGCAUCUCCUCGGGAAAUGUUCCCCAUCUGUGGAGCUGGGUAAAAUGGCACCCACCUGGAGAGGGCUGUCCUUGAUCAUCCUUGUCUCUCAUCCAUCAUUUUUUUACUGAAAUUAGAUUCUUCUGAACUUACAUUGCUUUAAAGGGUUUACCUGGCUCAGCAGGUGACAGUUUGGGGAUGUUUCAGAUAGAUUUUGCAUCAUUUGGGACAAAUUUUUAAGGUUUGUGAGCCUUAUCCAGUUGUCAGGCAGGUGGGUCCUCUUCCCCUCUCUGUGCAUGUAGCCCUAAAAACACCCUCUGAUUUCUGGAUGUCAGAGGGGGAAAAGGGUCAGAACAGUCCCAGAUCCCGUUCCUGAGAGCUGUCAGUGUGUAAUAGCCAUUAGCAGCUUCUGUAGUGACACAGGUUACUGCCACGGGACCAAACACCUGCAGGGAAGCUCCUCAGGCGAAAUUCCCCUCGGCUCCAAUCAGGUUUUCUCCGGAGCAGGGACCGCUGGCUGCGCUCAGGGCGCCUGCUCCUGGCUGAAGAGGCACUUCUAAUCGACUGCUAAGAGACUUAUUAGCAAUGUAAAAAGGAAUUGGAGGCAAGGAAAGGAUUCUUCCUGGCAGAAAUGUGCUUUGUAAAAUUAGUUUUUCUGACAGGAGUAAUUGGGUUAAACUCCUCGUGACUGUGGGUGUUAUGUGUUGCCUCUUAUUUUACCCAAGCAAAGGGCACCAAACACUUUGAACUUUGUAAAUAAUUGUUUCCAAAGUGUCGGGUUGGUUUUUUUUUUUCCCUUCUCUAUAAAUUCUUCAGAGAAAAGCUGAUUUCUAAUCCUUAUUCCGCCAAUGACAAACAGCCUUUUCCCACUCUAGAUAUAUUUUCUUUCCCCUCUUUGGAUUUUAAUAUUUCUUAGAUAUUAUAAAAAUCUUUUUUAAGGGGGAGUGCAGAGCUUUUGCUCAGAUUGGGAAAAUCAUUCCUAGAGCUUUAAGAAACUGGAGAAAGAAAGAGAGAAAACAUCAAAUAGAAGAACUUUAUUGUGCACUGUGGCAGGUGUUGGGCCGUGGUGUGGAGAUGUGUGUCCAGAGCCUGACCUGUGUCCAGAGCAGGCUGCUGGACUUCACUCUGGCUUUUCCUCACUCCAGAUUCCUGGAGAGUGAAGGGGUUGGCCCUUUGUUGGUUGUUCAUUCCUUCUGGGCUGAAGCAGAGCCGGGAUUUGCUCCUCCCUCCCCAACCGCAUCCUGGCAUUGCUCUGCCACUCGUGUGCUGAGGAGAGGGGCAUUUUUUUCUUGCAAACACCUUUUUUUUCUCAGUUUUAUUUCACUUUUUCAUGCACAGUAACAAAUGUUAAUGCAGAAACAGGACAGAAACUGUCCCAGAUUGUGCAGUGUCAGAGCCUGCAGGAAACCCAUAAACCUGCAUAAACCCAGGCCAACCCAUGGAUGUGGGAAAACUGAAGUGCUGAAAAAGCAAGACAUUAUAUUCUCCAUUUGUUGUUGUAUAAGUUGUAUAUGAAUUCUUUUAGUUAUCUGCUAUUUAUUUCUUCACCUUUUUUUGGCAAAAGUCACAAAUAAUGAGAAAUACCUCACUGGAGCUUGGGCUCUCCAGUGUGGGGGAAGUAAUCGCUGAGGAGCUCAGCUGGAACAUUUCCUUUUUGUCUUCAUGUAGUGGCUCAGGUCUUCCUCAAUGGUAGGAGGCUCCCACCAAGACUGAUCUUCCCUCCUUCUCCUCCUCAAGAGCCAGGGGUUUCAGGUCUUGGAUGCCACCAGCAGAUCUCCAGCUCCUGUAAAGCCAGAAGAGCUCUCCAUAUUUCCUUCCCGGAUGCCUUUUUCUCCUCUGCUUACAACUAUAAAAGCAGCUUUUCAUGCUCCAAAUCAGAGAUAAAUGGAAAUUGCUGCUGAAGAAAUAAAACACAAGGCCAAUCAAAUCGUGACACAGGAAGCAGCCUUCAGCCAGUGCAUUUUUGAGAGCUAUUUUUAGACUAUAUUUUUAUUUUGUGACUCCAUAUGGGAAGUCAAACCCAUAUGGUUUGGGAGAAUGGAAGGUUGUACUUUUAUAGUGAUUUUGCAAACUAUCCCAGCUCAGCUUUGUCCUUAAACUCGUGCUUAAAUCCAAUUGUCGGAGGUGGGACUGGAGCACAUCAACUGCUCCUGAGGUUGUACCAGCACAAUUCCCUCCUGAGGUACAAAAUUAUUCUACAUUUGUUAAAUCAGUCUCCAGUUAACUCGGCUCUCCUUAAUUACAACUUUUCUCAUCCUUACACCUGCCUUUUGUCCUUUUUCUUUUUAAUAUGUUCAUCUCUUCUCCAAUGUUCUGAUGCCCUGAUGGAUGUGUUUGGUCCAGUACCAGCCAGGAUGCAAAGCUGAGCAUCCACGGCCAUCAUGCUCCUGCUCUUCACAGUAGAUGUUGCUGUCUUCCAAAUACCCAGAUUAAUGUGAUUUUGAGGAAUAAGACUUUAUUCUGCCCACAACACCAUGGCAAAUUCUGAGUAUGCUGAUGAAGCAAUAAUUUGCCAGAAAAGGAAACAGUUCUCCCCUUUUUGAGGGGAUAAAGUGCAACGGGAAUAGGACUGCUCAGUGGAGAAUUCCUUGUGGCAGAAGGAUGGGCAGCAUGGAGAUUUCUGAGAUGGUUUGGAUGUCACCUCCAUCCAGUUGAAGGAAUGUAAUGCUAAAACUGGUCAUCAAAACCGAGACCUCACAGAUUGUUUUGUUGGACGGUCAAGAAAACAACCACCGAAUUUUUCCCCGGACCAGUGUUAGAGGAGACAAUGAGAAAACAACCUGGCCCCAAAAGAGGAAAAAGGGAAAACCUGCGAUUAGAGCAGAGAAAAAGUAUCAAAAUUUGUAAAAGAAAUCUGAUGAAGCCAUAUUUGUAUCCAAAAUCCAUGAUUGUUUUGAAAUCCAAGGAAGUACUGUUAAAUUAUUUGCUUGGAGGAGCUCUAUAGUCAGAAAACCCUCAUCACUUGUAUCCCACUUUAAUAAGUUUAUACCAUUCUGAAAUCCCAAAAGGCAGGAAAAACACCUGAAUUUACGAUGCUUGGGAGUGUUGGAAUUAGAUGCAAGAAGCUGGGUUUUCCCAGGAAUGUUAUGCUGGAAUAUUUGAGUAACACAAGUUCUAGCACAGGCGCUUGGGGGGUGAGGUGUGGGCACAGGAGCACUGGGAGGUGGACUCGUCACUGCUCUUCCUGGGCAUCCCUUGGCACAUUGGAGCAUCGUGAUCCCGGUAAAUCCAGCCAGGAAUCUGUCAGUGACUUCAGCAGAGCUGGAAUUCCAUCCCAGUGUGACACGGGCUGGUGACGUGGAGCGAUGUCAAGCCACUGAUGUAGAACUGGAAAAAUACCUCGUCACAUAACUGAUCCCACUGGGUUCCCAAAUUUCACUUGGGACUUUCUACCGAGUUUCCAUUCCCAUUGCAAAUACAUGGAUAACAUGUUAAGGCAUUAGCCUUAAAAAAGUAAAGAAAUCAUUUCUUUAAGAGAUGGGCAAUCUGUAGAAGACAUUUGUGUAAUUUUGCAUUCUAAAUGUGAUUUAUAUUUAUAAAUAAAUUUGCAUAAAAUCUCCA